Long non-coding RNA from Dreissena polymorpha, 811 nucleotides. RefSeq lists it as uncharacterized. The record is from RefSeq and is a predicted model, not a curated record. Lineage: Eukaryota; Metazoa; Mollusca; Bivalvia; Myida; Dreissenidae. The transcript has 4 exons.
CAAUGGUGGUGUUAAUUCGGUCAACUGUGACACGAUACAAAAUAUAGGAAAGUGUAUGCGUUAUACGUUUGAGGUUUGUUUUGUUUUGUACCAUUACGCGAGAGUUUAGCAUUAUAUUUGGACGAUCACUCCUAUGACAACCACUACUAGAACAACACAACCGACAACUAUUGCGACUACGGCAUAUACAGGGAAAAUACCGGCACACUUGUGUUCAUCAGAACCAUCCAGACAAUCAGCAUCGCCGUUACACUGCCAUUCCUUGGAGAUACACUGCCCAUUGGCGCAGGUGAACAUGGCUCCAUCACAAUGUCGGUGUGCUUUUAAGUAAUACUUUCAUAAAACAACUUUUAACAGGAAUUUUAUAAUUCUUAAGAAUUGUGAAAUAUAUAUAUAUAUGUAUCAUCUCAUCAAUUUUAGAAAAUUUAGGGCUGAAAUCCCCAUUCCUCCUAAAAACAAACAUUCUCUGAAAAGUUAUGUCCUCAUUUUAAGUGAAUGUAAACAUUUAUAAACAUUUAUAAUUCCACCCGCCAAGGAAAUAAGCGUAAGCAUUUAAAACAUAAAAGGCCCUCUGCCCCAAUCUCCCAUGAGUGAAUAUUUCCCCUAUUGUAUUGUAAUAUUGUUAAAACAUUUAUUCAUUCAGAUGUUCUGCUUAUGUUUGCAACUUUCACCAGAGGGAGGAAUACUUACUGACAGUGCAGUUGUUUUCGUCUAUUCCAUCUGAGCAGUCGUGCACCUCAUCGCAUUUCAAGUCAUUAUCAAUGCACACGUUGUCCGCGGUACAAUAGAACUGAGUUGCAGUGCAAACUGU